AGAAUCGUGGAGGUAGAGCACUGAUUGGGUGCGGGGCCCGCAAGGGUUACCAAGCUCAGUCAAACUCCGAAUGCCAUAGAUUUAGUUCCGGGAGUCAGACAGUGAGUGCUAAGAUCCAUUGUCGAAAGGGAAACAGCCCAGACCAUCAGCUAAGGUCCCCAAGUGUGUGUUAAGUGGGAAAGGAUGUGGAGUUGCACAGACAACCAGGAUGUUGGCUUAGAAGCAGCCACCAUUGAAAGAGUGCGUAAUAGCUCACUGGUCGAGUGACUCUGCGCCGAAAAUGUAACGGGGCUAAACACACCACCGAAGCUAUGGCUUGAUGCUUGCAUCAGGGGUAGGGGAGCGUUGAAUGCGGGUUGAAGGUGUACCGUAAGGAGCGCUGGACUGCAUUCAAGUGAGAAUGCCGGUAUGAGUAACGAAAAGAUCUGUGAGAAUCAGAUCCGCCGAAAGCCUAAGGGUUCCUGAGGAAGGUUCGUCCGCUCAGGGUAAGUCGGGACCUAAGGCGAGGCCGAUAGGCGUAGUCGAAGGACAACAGGUCGAAAUUCCUGUACCACCGUAAUCCGUUAUGAGCGAUGGGGUGACGCAGUAGGGUAGUGACGCGGACUGAUGGAUGUCCGUCUAAGCAGUGAGGCUG
RNAcentral lists this ribosomal RNA (634 nucleotides) under Paenibacillus sp. EKM212P. RNAcentral describes it as "partial 23S ribosomal RNA". It matches the Rfam family "Bacterial large subunit ribosomal RNA", at positions 890 to 1527 of the family's 2925-position model. The record is from RNAcentral. Lineage: Bacteria; Bacillati; Bacillota; Bacilli; Caryophanales; Paenibacillaceae.